UACGGAAUGUGCAACCGUUAUUCGGAAUCACUGGGCUUAAAGAGUCCGUAGGCGGCCUGUUAGGUGAGGUGUGAAAUCCCCCGGCUCAACCGAGGAAUUGCGCUUCAAACCGGCGUGCUUGAGGAAGAUAGAGGUGGGCGGAACUGAUGGUGGAGCGGUGAAAUGCGCAGAUAUCAGGAGGAACACCGAUGGCGAAGGCAGGUCUCUGGGCAUUAACUGACGCCGAGGAGCGAAAGCAUGGGGAGCGAACAGG
Molecule: ribosomal RNA, 253 nt
Filed under: uncultured bacterium
Lineage: Bacteria
Description: partial 16S ribosomal RNA
Rfam family: Bacterial small subunit ribosomal RNA
Source: RNAcentral